This 193-nucleotide ribosomal RNA is filed under the name uncultured prokaryote. RNAcentral's name for it is "partial 16S ribosomal RNA". The record is from RNAcentral.
UUCCAGAAAUUGUUCCAAGUAUCGGCAACAGCUUUAUCAAUACCAUGAAAAAUAUCAACCACACCAGAAGCAGCAUCAGUGACGACAUUAGAAAUAUCCUUUGCAGUAGCGCCAAUAUGAGAAGAGCCAUACCGCUGAUUCUGCGUUUGCUGAUGAACUAAGUCAACCUCAGCACUAACCUUGCGAGUCAUUU